CUACGGGUGGCAGCAGUGGGGAAUAUUGCACAAUGGACGAAAGUCUGAUGCAGCAACGCCGCGUGGAGGAUGACACAUUUCGGUGCGUAAACUCCUUUUAUAUAGGAAGAUAAUGACGGUACUAUAUGAAUAAGCGCCGGCCAACUCCGUGCCAGCAGCCGCGGUAGAUACGGAGGGCGCAAGCGUUACUCGGAAUCACUGGGCGUAAAGAGCGUGUAGGCGGAUAGAUAAGUCAGGAGUGAAAUCCUAUGGCUCAACCAUAGAACUGCUCUUGAAACUGUCUAUCUAGAAUAUGGGAGAGGUAGAUGGAAUUUCUGGUGUAGGGAUAAAAUCCGUAGAGAUCAGAAGGAAUACCGAUUGCGAAGGCGAUCUACUGGAACAUUAUUGACGCUGAGACGCGAAAGCGUGGGGAGCAAACAGGAUUAGAUACCCUGGUAGUC
This 440-nucleotide ribosomal RNA is filed under the name uncultured bacterium. RNAcentral's name for it is "partial 16S ribosomal RNA". It matches the Rfam family "Bacterial small subunit ribosomal RNA", at positions 339 to 795 of the family's 1533-position model. The record is from RNAcentral.